RNAcentral lists this ribosomal RNA (253 nucleotides) under uncultured bacterium. Its description in RNAcentral is "partial 16S ribosomal RNA". It matches the Rfam family "Bacterial small subunit ribosomal RNA", at positions 524 to 776 of the family's 1533-position model. The record is from RNAcentral.
UACGGAGGAUCCAAGCGUUAUCCGGAUUUAUUGGGUUUAAAGGGUGCGUAGGCGGUUUGAUAAGUCAGUGGUGAAAGUUUGCAGCUUAACUGUAAAAUUGCCAUUGAUACUGUCAGACUUGAGUACAGAUGAGGUAGGCGGAAUGUGUAGUGUAGCGGUGAAAUGCUUAGAUAUUACACAGAACACCGAUUGCGAAGGCAGCUUACUAAACUGAAACUGACGCUGAGGCACGAAAGUGUGGGGAUCAAACAGG